Molecule: ribosomal RNA, 713 nt
Filed under: Allium sativum (garlic)
Lineage: Eukaryota; Viridiplantae; Streptophyta; Magnoliopsida; Asparagales; Amaryllidaceae
Description: eukaryotic LSU rRNA
Rfam family: 5.8S ribosomal RNA (bases 282-437)
Source: RNAcentral
UAACAAGGUUUCCGUAGGUGAACCUGCGGAAGGAUCAUUGUCGAGUUCCUUUUCGAACAGUUGUGAAAUUGUGCUCAUACCCGACGAGUACUACGUGUUUGUGCUAUUAGUGCAUGCGUUGUCUUGGCGGGUUCCCUUUUGCUGCCUUCGUGUUGCUUUAUUUGAAGUGAAACGAAGAGCAGAAAUAAGACACCGGCACAGUUUGUGCCAAGGACAGUUAUUGUUGGAGUGCAUUGCCAUCGUUUUGAUGUGCUUUGUGCUAUUCUAGCGAGCAUCUGAAUGACUCCUGGCAAUGGAUAUCUUGGCUCUCGUGUCGAUGAAGAACGUAGCGAAAUGCGACACUUGGUGUGAAUUGCAGAAUCCCGUGAACCAUCGAGUCUUUGAAUGCAAGUUGCGCACGAGGCCAUUAGGUCGAGUGCACGUCUGUUUGGGCGUCAUGUAUAGCGUCAUUCCAAUCUCCCUCAUGCGACGAGUGCAUUUUGGGUUAUGAUGGAUAUGGAGAAUGACCUUCCGUGCUUUAAUUGUAUGGUAGGUUUAAGUGAUUGUCGUUGCCAGUUAUAUGCGAGGCGAAUGGUGUGUCGAGUUAACGCACGAUGUCUCUAAUCGCGUCCAUGAGACCUAGGCAUGACUUAGCACUAGCUAAAACCGAUUUCGAUGUUUGCUUUCGUAGCAGGCUCGGACCAUGACCUCAGAUCAGACGGGGCGACCCGCUG